CCUACGGGUGGCAGCAGUGAGGAAUAUUGGUCAAUGGCCGGAAGGCUGAACCAGCCAUGCCGCGUGAAGGUCAGUGCCCUAUGGGCGUUAAACUUCUUUUGUGCGGGAGCAAUAAUGGUCACGUGUGGCCAGACGAGAGUACCGUACGAAAAAGCAUCGGCUAACUCCGUGCCAGCAGCCGCGGUAAUACGGAGGAUGCGAGCGUUAUCCGGAUUUAUUUGGUUUAAAGGGUGCGCAGGCGGGAGAUCAAGUCAGCGGUAAAAUGUCGGGGCUCAACCCCGGCCGGCCGUUGAAACUGGUUUUCUAGAGUUGGAGAGAAGUAUGCGGAAUUCGUGGUGUAGCGGUGAAAUGCAUAGAUAUCACGAAGAACUCCGAUUGCGAAGGCAGCUUACUAAACUGCCACUGACAUUGAUGCUCGAAAGUGUGGGUAUCAAACAGGAUUAGAUACCCCAGUAGUC
Molecule: ribosomal RNA, 458 nt
Filed under: uncultured bacterium
Lineage: Bacteria
Description: partial 16S ribosomal RNA
Rfam family: Bacterial small subunit ribosomal RNA
Source: RNAcentral